GGGGUGCUCGAGUGGCGAACGGGUGAGUAACACGUGAUAACCUGCCCUUGACUUUGGGAUAACUUCAGGAAACUGGGGCUAAUACCGGAUAGGAGCUCCUGCUGCAUGGUGGGGGUUGGAAAGUUUCGGCGGUUGGGGAUGGACUCGCGGCUUAUCAGCUUGUUGGUGGGGUAGUGGCUUACCAAGGCUUUGACGGGUAGCCGGCCUGAGAGGGUGACCGGCCACAUUGGGACUGAGAUACGGCCCAG
This 248-nucleotide ribosomal RNA is filed under the name uncultured Actinomycetales bacterium. Its description in RNAcentral is "partial 16S ribosomal RNA". It matches the Rfam family "Bacterial small subunit ribosomal RNA", at positions 84 to 334 of the family's 1533-position model. Lineage: Bacteria; Bacillati; Actinomycetota; Actinomycetes; Actinomycetales. The record is from RNAcentral.